UGAGGAAUAUUGGACAAUGGGCGCAAGCCUGAUCCAGCCAUGCCGCGUGCAGGAUGACGGUCCUAUGGAUUGUAAACUGCUUUUGUACAGGAAGAAACAGUUCUACGUGUAGAACCUUGACGGUACUGUAAGAAUAAGGAUCGGCUAACUCCGUGCCAGCAGCCGCGGUAAUACGGAGGAUCCAAGCGUUAUCCGGAAUCAUUGGGUUUAAAGGGUCCGUAGGCGGUUAGAUAAGUCAGUGGUGAAAGCCCAUCGCUCAACGGUGGAACGGCCAUUGAUACUGUCUGACUUGAAUUAUUAGGAAGUAACUAGAAUAUGUAGUGUAGCGGUGAAAUGCUUAGAGAUUACAUGGAAUACCAAUUGCGAAGGCAGGUUACUACUAAUGGAUUGACGCUGAUGGGCGAAAGCGUGGGUAGCGAACAGGAUUAGAUACCCCCGUAGUCCCUGAGCGGGCUGGCAAGGCGCAU
Molecule: ribosomal RNA, 467 nt
Filed under: uncultured bacterium
Lineage: Bacteria
Description: bacterial SSU rRNA
Rfam family: Bacterial small subunit ribosomal RNA
Source: RNAcentral